Long non-coding RNA from Lates calcarifer (barramundi perch), 625 nucleotides. RefSeq lists it as uncharacterized. The record is from RefSeq and is a predicted model, not a curated record. Lineage: Eukaryota; Metazoa; Chordata; Actinopteri; Centropomidae. The transcript is spliced from 3 exons.
AUCCUCGAGUCAGUUUUGCUCAAUUUGACUAUUCAGUUCUGUUCAGUUCAUUUUCUUAGUAGCUUCCUCAAUGUGUCAACAGAGAACUUUUUUGGUUUGUACUGGUUCCAUUCAAGACCUUGUCUCCAUGUAAUUCUGGCUGCCACCUGGCGUGAAUUUUCAGGGGGAAAUGAAGGCUCGAUUUACGGCACAGAGGAAGUGCACCUGCCGCUGGACAGUUUCCCCUGAGGUAGCGGAAAUGGCGGUCGUUUGAACAACCGGAAUAAAUGUGGAAACUCUACCCGGCAGGGUAAGAGAGAGUGAUGGAAACGGUAGAGGAACGAGAGUGAACCCCAGACGGACAUUCACUGGACGGAGAGAGAUCGCAGCUUCUGGGGCUGACUUGGAUGGAUGGAUUUUUAACGAUCCACCGGCCCAGUGGCCGGUACCGACUAUGGAGAGAGCUCCAGGACUUUAGAGGCUUAAAAACCUUCUAAAUCAGCUCCCCAGGAGGCCCACGUGGACCAGGAUCCCCCUGAAAACAACAAAAAAUGAGGAGAUAAAGGAGAGGAAAGAAGGAGCACCCAUCUCACCUGAGCGGAGCAGAUCAGCACGAUUUGCAGUAAAAGCACCAGCAAAGACUCCC